This 91-nucleotide microRNA precursor is filed under the name Caenorhabditis remanei. The record is from RNAcentral. Lineage: Eukaryota; Metazoa; Nematoda; Chromadorea; Rhabditida; Rhabditidae.
GUUGUUAUGUGUUGACAUCACUACCAGGUUUCACAGCGUUUCAAUGGAAACGCUGGGAACUUGUAGAUUGAUGACAACAAAUACUACAACA